Molecule: ribosomal RNA, 468 nt
Filed under: uncultured bacterium
Lineage: Bacteria
Description: partial 16S ribosomal RNA
Rfam family: Bacterial small subunit ribosomal RNA
Source: RNAcentral
GACGAACGCUGGCGGCGUGCUUAACACAUGCAAGUCGAACGGAAAGGCCCUGCUUUUGUGGGGUGCUCGAGUGGCGAACGGGUGAGUAACACGUGAGUAACCUGCCCUUGACUUUGGGAUAACUUCAGGAAACUGGGGCUAAUACCGGAUAGGAGCUCCUGCUGCAUGGUGGGGGUUGGAAAGUUUCGGCGGUUGGGGAUGGACUCGCGGCUUAUCAGCUUGUUGGUGGGGUAGUGGCUUACCAAGGCUUUGACGGGUAGCCGGCCUGAGAGGGUGACCGGCCACAUCGGGACUGAGAUACGGCCCAGACUCCUACGGGAGGCAGCAGUGGGGAAUAUUGCACAAUGGGCGGAAGCCUGAUGCAGCAACGCCGCGUGCGGGAUGACGGUCUUCGGGUUGUAAACCGCUUUCGCCUGUGACGAAGCGUGAGUGACGGUAAUGGGUAAAGAAGCACCGGCUAACUACGUG